GACGAACGCUGGCGGCGUGCCUAAUACAUGCAAGUCGAGCGAAGUUUUUCUGGUGCUUGCACCGGAAAAACUUAGCGGCGAACGUGUGAGUAACACGUAAAGAACCUGCCUCAUAGACUGGGACAACUAUUGGAAACGAUAUCUAAUCCCGGAUAAUAGCAUUAACUGCAUGGUUGAUGUUUAAAAGUUUGUUUUGCUAACACUAUGAGAUGUCUUUGCGGUGCAUUAGCUAGUUGGUGGGGUAAAGGCCUACCAAGGCGACGAUGCAUAGCCGACCUGAGAGGGUGAUCGGCCACACUGGGACUGAGACACGGCCCAGACUCCUACGGGAGGCAGCAGUAGGGAAUCUUCCGCAAUGGGCGAAAGCCUGACGGAGCAACGCCGCGUGAGUGAAGAAGGAUUUCGGUUCGUAAAGCUCUGUUGUUAGGGAAGAAUGAUUGUGUAGUAAAUAUACACAGUAGAGACGGUACCUAACCAGAAAGCCACGGCUAACUACGUG
Molecule: ribosomal RNA, 499 nt
Filed under: uncultured bacterium
Lineage: Bacteria
Description: partial 16S ribosomal RNA
Rfam family: Bacterial small subunit ribosomal RNA
Source: RNAcentral